This is a long non-coding RNA of Clupea harengus (Atlantic herring), 3589 nucleotides long. The record is from Ensembl. NCBI's taxonomy places the organism in Eukaryota, Metazoa, Chordata, Actinopteri, Clupeiformes, Clupeidae.
UGUGUGUGUGUGUGCUGGUGUGAUGUGUUUAUAAAAUGAAGGAUUGCAGACAGUCGUCUCAAUCGGCAUUGGCUUGACCUGCAGUUAGAGGUCAAAGGUCAGGAUUGAGUGGUCAGGCUGGGACUCCUGGGGCGGGGGGGUCAGUUAGUGUUAGAUGCCAGGAUGCCAUGAAUAACACACACACACACAUUAUAUAUACAUUAUACACACACACACACACACAUUAUAUAUACAUUAUACACACACACACACACACAUUAUAUAUACAUUAUACACACACACACACACACACACAUUAUAUAUACAUUAUACACACACACACACACACACACAUUAUAUAUACAUUAUACACACUCACACACACACACAUUAUAUAUACAUUAUACACACACACACACACACACACACACACACUAUAUAUACAUUAUACACACACACACACACAUUACAUAUACAUUAUACACACACACACACACACACAUUAUAUAUACAUUAUACACACACACACACACUCACGUAUAGUUCAUGGAGACCUGUACUAACACACACACACAUAUGCAUGCAAACACACACACAGAUGCAGACCUGCACUCACAUGCACAUAUUUACUCACCAGACACACACGCACACCAUACACACGCCUUUGGUGUCCUUGAAGCCAAAUUGUCCAAUCAGGGAAGCGCUACAGCGAGAGCAUCAGCAUCAGUGUUAUGUUGUUAAUGAUGCUGUUUGUUUGUUUGUUUGUUUGUUCGUUUGGUGUGUGACACCCAAUUUUAACUCAACACCUCAGCCUUAUGCAAGACCACAGUGCUGUAAGUACCAUGCAGUCUAGUUCAUCUUCACUGAACACGCACGUGUGUGUGUGUGUGUGUGUGUGUGCUUGUUCAUUUGUGUGUGUCUGCUAUGUGUUUGUUACAUGUUGAGCAGAACAGAACAGCUGAGUCUGCGCUGACGGCUGCGCUAGCAUCUAGCAUCUAGGGUUAGCAUCUAGCAUCUAGCAUCUAGGGUUAGCAUCUAGCAUCUAGGGUUAGCAUCUAGCAUCUAGGGUUAGCUUCUAGCAUCUAGUGUUAGCAUCUAGCAUCUAGGGUUAGCAUCUAGCAUCUAGGGUUAGCAUCUAGCAUCUAGGGUUAGCAUCUAGCAUCUAGGGUUAGCAUCUACAUCUAGUGUUAGCAUCUAGCAUCUAGGGUUAGCAUCUAGUGUUAGCAUCUAGCAUCUAGGGUUAGCAUCUAGCAUCUAGGGUUAGCAUCCAUCUCAUCACCCAGAUACCCAGUACACCAACUACAACUGAUCCAGAUUAGAGCCGAAUAGAACUGAUCCAGAUUAUGGUUUGAUAGAACUGAUCCAGAUUGGAGUCACAUGGAAUAGGUCUGAGUUUACACACACACACACACACACAGACACACACUCCCUCUGCUCCCUCUGUCAGAAACGUGUGUGCUUUUAACAGCCAAUCAGAAACGUGUGUGCUUUUAACAGCCAAUCAGAAACGUGUGUGCUUUUAACUGUCUGUGCUCAGCCUUGACAUGAACACAUGAACAAAGAAGCGGUCACGUGUGUGUGUGUGUGUGUGUGUGUGUGUGUGUGUGUGUUUGUGUGACGAAGAACAACGUUUGGAGUGUUUUCUGUGAGCGACGUGUAAACCACGUGUCGUUACAGCGCACGGCCGUCUGGACCAGCACCUGUGGAGAGAUUCGGUUCUCCUUCUGAAAUCUGUUCAGAAAAAGAAAAUGUAUUAUUGUAUCAUUUUAUCAUUUUUAAUCCAGCAGUGUUAAAUAUGAUUUCUUAUGGUUGUUUGAUUUCCUGUCCAUGCAAGUAAAAUGUGUGUAUUGUGGGCACUGGUAGGUGGGCGAGGAACAGGCCCAUCCCAGCCCGUUCUUGUGUUGUGUGUCUCUCUACCAGAUAGCAGUAUUACUGAAGCCAACUUAACUGACAUUACACACUUGUUUUAGAAGGAACAGUUAAGCUUGUUUUAUAUAUAUGUGUAUGUAAACAUAUUUAUGUGUCUUAUUUUUAUAUUUCCUCAUAGUUAUUUAUUCUACUCCUAGUUUACAGUGUUGUUGCCGUUUUGUAUUACUUCAGUCACUGUGUUAAGAGAGCCGCCGCGGUGGUCCGGCCGGACGGAGUGGUUCUGGAUUGGUUGGAACAGUCCCACACUCCCGACACAGGAUGACGGGGCUGUUCCACCGAGCAGGGUUACUCCAUUACCCACAUACCUGCGCUCAGCAAAACCAGAAACACAGCGCCACGUAUGCUAGGCUACAGAAACAGCGCCUCUCAUGCUAGGCUAGGCUAGAGAAACAGCGCCUCGUAUGCUAGGCUACAGAAACAGCACCUUGUGUGCUAGGCUAGGCUAGAGAAACAGCACCUUGUGUGCUAGGCUAGGCUAGGCUGGAGAAGCAGCACCUUGUGUGCUAGGCUAGAGAAGCAGCACCUUGUAUGCUAGGCUACAGAAACAGCGCCUCGUAUGCUAGGCUAGGCUAGGCUGGAGAAGCAGCACCUUGGAUGUUAGGCUAGGCUAGGCUAGGCUUGUUUAGGUGUUAGCUGGCGCAGAUAUCUGGCUAACUCAUGCGUCAGGCUAGGCUGGAUGUGGGGAGUGUUUCUAGGUGUUAGCCGGCGCAGAUAACUCUGCUCUAGUGCGCAAGCGGGCGAGGAGACAGAUAGACACAUGACUCCGCCCCCUCACAAAGCUGCAGCAGCAGACUGGCCCAGAUCCAGCGGAACCAGAAUGGUUGGGGUUCCUGCUGAGGUCCAGAUCCAGCAGAACCAGAUCGGUUGGGGUUCCUGCUGAGGCCCCGGGUGUGACCCCCCCCCCCCCACACGCUUAACGCAGCGGCGUCCCGUCUGCCUACGUGUUCCUCAAACUCACCCGUCAUAAUGCAUGCAUAGCUCACCUACCCCCCUUGUGAAGCAUUAUAACACAUUAUCACCCAUGUGCAUGAGAAAAGGACCCUACAUGUUUAUUGAGCACUGUGUUUGACAUAGGAAAGUUACUGUGUGGAACCAAGUGGAACCAAGCCAGUUUGCCUGGGGCGCUGAGGAGGAGGAGGAGGAGGAGGAGGAGGAGGACCGCGUCAGUGUUCAUCAUGUCUGCACACGUAGAGUUCAUGCUGUCUUAGUGUUGAGGAUUGCAGGGAUGGAUUUGACUCUUAGUGUAAAGAUUUGACUCUUAGUGUGAAGAUAUGACUGUCAGUGUUGAGGAUUGCAGGGAUGGAUUUGGCUCUAGUGUGAAUAUAUGACUCUUAGUGUAAAGAUAUGACUCUUAGUGUGAAGAUAUGAAUGUCAGUGUUGGGGAUUGCAGGUAUGGAUUUGUCUAAGGUCUAGUGUGAAGGUAUGAUUGUUGUUGCGCUUGUGUGGAACUUGUCUGGAGUUCUCGUGGUUCCCUGUGUCAAGAUCUUGUCCUCCACACACACGUCUCAUUUUCUGUGCCAAAGUAAUAUUUGUGUGUGUGUGUGUGUUUGUCCGAUGCUUCAAAUUGGUUUUAGAUAAAAAAAAAAAAAACCUGUUCAAAUGCAUUGCCAUUCUCAGUUGUUUUGUUAGUUUUUUUUUUUAAAUCCCCAUGGAAACCGAAAUUAAAGGAGAAUGAUGCACA